CCCGCUGAACUUAAGCAUAUCAAUAAGCGGAGGAAAAGAAACUAACAAGGAUUCCCUCAGUAACGGCGAGUGAAGCGGGAAUAGCUCAAAUUUGAAAUUCUACUGGUUUCCAGUAUGAAUUGUAGUUUAAAGAAGCGCUUUCGAAGACAAACUAAGAUUAAGUUUCUUGGGAUAGAACAUCAUAGAGGGUGAGAAUCCCGUAUGUGUUUUAGUUUAGUUUUUAUGUGAUGCGUUUUCAAAGAGUCAGGUUGUUUGGGAAUGCAGCCUAAAAUGGGUGGUAAAUACCAUCUAAAGCUAAAUAUUGGCGAGAGACCGAUAGCGAACAAGUACCGUGAGGGAAAGAUGAAAAGAACUUUGAAAAGAGAGUUAAAAGUACGUGAAAUUGUCAAAAGGGAAACACUUGAAACCAGUUUUGUAUUUAGAAUCCCAACUAAUCUAACGAUUAGCAUAUGUUUCUAAAUACAGGUCAAUAUCAGUUUUUUUUGAAGUACAAAGCUUGAAGAAGGUGGCCUCUCGGGGUGUUAUAGCUUCAAGUAAUGCUUUGGAAAAGACUGAGGAAUGCAGCGCAGUCUUGGGUACCUUGUUGCUAGUUGAUGCAUUUUUCUAGAAUACUUGUAUAUUAGGAGAAUGAUAAGACUAAUCAGUGAGUUUGCCACACCUGUGCUUAGGAUAUUGACAUAAUGGUUUUAAAUGACCCGUCUUGAAACACGG
Molecule: ribosomal RNA, 711 nt
Filed under: uncultured fungus
Lineage: Eukaryota; Fungi
Description: eukaryotic LSU rRNA
Rfam family: Eukaryotic large subunit ribosomal RNA
Source: RNAcentral